GAAAAUUUAGUUUAUUAAAAAUAAAUGUUUUGAAAGCAUUAGUAGGGAGAUCCCAAUUUUUA
This 62-nucleotide transfer RNA is filed under the name Cambaroides similis. RNAcentral describes it as "tRNA-Ser". The record is from RNAcentral. Lineage: Eukaryota; Metazoa; Arthropoda; Malacostraca; Decapoda; Cambaridae.